This is a long non-coding RNA of Felis catus (domestic cat), 572 nucleotides long. RefSeq lists it as uncharacterized. NCBI's taxonomy places the organism in Eukaryota, Metazoa, Chordata, Mammalia, Carnivora, Felidae. The record is from RefSeq and is a predicted model, not a curated record. The transcript is spliced from 3 exons.
CUCUUCCUGAUUCUCAGUGAGCGAGCAUCCCCGUCAUACCACGCAGCUCAGCUCUCCUCCCGUGUUUGCAGGGGCGAAGUCCUGCGGUGCUGGCGCAGCUUCUGUUUUGGUCCCGGACAGCUCCCUCCAGUUUAUUCUAAAAUGUGAACACCUUCCCAAGCCUCCAGGAUUUAAACUGCUAUCAUUAAGCAAACACAGCUUAUGUGCAGGGCUAAAUAGCCAGCAACUAUCAACCAUAGGACAAACUGAGCAUCCAGGCAGGCACAGCCCCUCUACUGAGUUCAAAGCUCUUUGCAGCUCACGUUCUCCAUCUUGUGGACAUUUAUCCCUGGCAGAGUCUCAGAAGCUGGUAACUGUGUGUUGGAGAACUACUAAGCUCAGAGUCCAGGGAGGUGAGCUUCUUUUGCCCAAUAUGCAGGGAAGCUCAGGCAAAAUGAGAAAGUCAGCAAACUACUUGUAUUCUUCUUAGCCACCCCUUAUGCUUUAUCUCCUCUCUGUGGAGCUUAAACCCUUUUCCACAUAAGAAAGAAAUAAUUUUUUCCAUAGUCAGCAGCAGCAGGUGUGUGUGUGUG